Molecule: long non-coding RNA, 487 nt
Organism: Humulus lupulus (European hop)
Lineage: Eukaryota; Viridiplantae; Streptophyta; Magnoliopsida; Rosales; Cannabaceae
Exons: 2
Source: RefSeq, a predicted model, not a curated record
UAUCAGUAUUCCCUUUAAAAUUUCAGCCAACCGAACUGAACAAUUGUUGUGGUUAGAAAGCAUCAAGAUAUUGAUUUUAAAUCUUAUAUCUACAUAUAUGUAUUGUGUUUGUUUGUUUUUGGACAGAAAAGUGAAUUAUUGGAUUUCUUUUUUGUUUGCUUUGAUCUCUUAUUGUUCUUGAUAUUAUAAUAUUCCUUUUCUUGCUCUCUUUGGCUGUUCAAAGUAUGAGAAAAUGAAAACUUGGGUUUCAUUUCUUUGUUGUUUGUUUUUGGUAAGAAAUGAAAAUUCAGUGACUGAGGUGAUACUUUAAUUGCUCCCUGAUCCUUUGAAGUAAUGACUUAUUUAUUAUUUUUUAUUUUUUGAAGACAAAAGAAUUGGAAGCCGAGCUGGUGAAUGUAACAGGGGCAGCUAGGCCAUGUCGCAAAAUAAGGUCUGAGCAAGACAAGGAGCCAGAAAAGGAGGUUGUAUCUGAAGUUGUGGGUGCUGG